UUGGAGGGCAAGUCUGGUGCCAGCAGCCGCGGUAAUUCCAGCUCCAAUAGCGUAUAUUAAAGUUGUUGCAGUUAAAAAGCUCGUAGUUGAAUUUCGGGAUCAGAGUGUCGGUCGUGCCUCGGUACGCACUGGUAUUAUUGGUUCCUACCUUCUGAAGAACCGCGAUGUCAUUAAUUUGGUGUCGUGGGGAAUCAGGACUGUUACUUUGAAAAAAUUAGAGUGUUUAAAGCAGGCUUACGCUUGAAUACAUUAGCAUGGAAUAAUGAAAUAGGACGUUUGAUUCUAUUUUGUUGGUUUCUAGGAUUGACGUAAUGAUUAAUAGGGAUAGUUGGGGGCAUUAGUAUUCAAUUGUCAGAGGUGAGAUUCUUGGAUUUAUUGAAGACUAACUACUGCGAAAGCAUUUGCCAAGGAUGUUUUCAUUAAUCAAGAACGAAGGUUAGGGGAUCGAAGACGAUCAGAUACCGUCGUAGUCUUAACCAUAAACUAUGCCGACUAGGGAUCGGAUGAUGUUAAUUUUUUAAUGACUCAUUCGGCGCCUUACGGGAAACCAAAGUGUUUGGGUUC
Molecule: ribosomal RNA, 564 nt
Filed under: uncultured Glomeromycotina
Lineage: Eukaryota; Fungi; Glomeromycota
Description: SSU rRNA
Rfam family: Eukaryotic small subunit ribosomal RNA
Source: RNAcentral